CACGAUGUGAACACCAAGCUUCGCAACGUGAAAAAGUUUCUUUCCAACGGAGAUAAAGUAAAGCUUUCCAUCCGUUUCCGUGGUCGGGAAAUUACCCACCAAGACCUAGGUCGGAAGAUGCUGACUCGGGUAGCGGAAGAAGUGAAGGAUCUCGGAGAUGUGGAGCGCCAGCCCAAGCUGGAAGGUCGUCAGAUGAUUAUGAUACUGGCACCGAAAAACACCAACAGCUGAGGAGUGACCCCCAUGCCGAAAAUGAAGACGCGCCGUGCGGCCGCAAAGCGUUUCAACAAAACCGGCACCGGCAAGAUCAAACGCAACCAUGCGUUUA
Molecule: unclassified non-coding RNA, 328 nt
Filed under: Marininema mesophilum
Lineage: Bacteria; Bacillati; Bacillota; Bacilli; Caryophanales; Thermoactinomycetaceae
Description: Long range pseudoknot
Source: RNAcentral